AUACGAAGGGGGCUAGCGUUGUUCGGAAUUACUGGGCGUAAAGCGCGCGUAGGCGGAUUGGUCAGUUAGGGGUGAAAUCCCAGGGCUUAACCCUGGAACUGCCUCUAAUACUGCCAGUCUUGAGUUCGGGAGAGGUGAGUGGAAUUCCUAGUGUAGAGGUGAAAUUCGUAGAUAUUAGGAAGAACACCAGUGGCAAAGGCGGCUCACUGGCCCGAUACUGACGCUGAGGCGCGAAAGCGUGGGGAGCAAACAGGAUUAGAUACCCUUGUAGUCC
Molecule: ribosomal RNA, 274 nt
Filed under: uncultured bacterium
Lineage: Bacteria
Description: partial 16S ribosomal RNA
Rfam family: Bacterial small subunit ribosomal RNA
Source: RNAcentral